Long non-coding RNA from Tachysurus fulvidraco (yellow catfish), 1019 nucleotides. RefSeq lists it as uncharacterized. The transcript has 3 exons. Lineage: Eukaryota; Metazoa; Chordata; Actinopteri; Siluriformes; Bagridae. The record is from RefSeq and is a predicted model, not a curated record.
UACAAAUCUGCUGCACUGUAAAACUUGCCUGGCAUUGUUCUGUGUGGGAUUGUUUAGUUUCUCAUAACAUUUUGGUAGUUAUAAAGCUCAGACUAGCACUGGCAGUGAUCAGCAGUGAUACGAGGUAAAGAAGUUAUUAUGGGGCAAAUUUAUGUAGUUAAGAAGAGAAGAAAUUACUCAAUGACCUAUAAGAGUAGGGUUGAAAUGAUUCCUCCAGUAACUUGAGGAAUUUUAUUUUUUUUUGCUUUAUGUCCGACCGACUUGCAGGUUGUAAAUUUGCGUUAAGACCGACCUUUUUUUUACUAAUACAAAAACAAGCAAGUAAUACAAAAGCAAUAAAAGAAUACUAACGGGUUCGGGCGCCAUAAUAUAUCUAAAAAAGUCAUUAAAGCAGCUCGACACCACUUUAACUUGGCACAAAGUUUUGGAAAAACUGCCCAGCAUCAACAUGAGGUUUGCAAUGAUGCACCCGAAGACACGGGUUGAAGACCCAGUCAGUGACGUCACCAUAUGCUAAUUUGUUUAAAGUCAUACCUACGUAAUCAUCACCAACAAAAUUUUACUUUUUUUUUUUACAUUGAACCUUGAAAAAAAAUAUAUAGACCUACCUACCUUUUUAUUUUUUAUGGUGAACAUAAGGAUGGCCUUAUAUUCACACAUGGAGGUCUAUAGUUUUACACAUAGUGAUGCUGAAACAAAAUGCUCAGUAAGCUGCAGUUCUGCAGGGAGAAACACUUUGCUGUGGAGAGACUUCUGGCUGACAGGAAGUGCAGUGUUAACUACUGAGGUAAGAACAGGAAUUCCAGGCUCACAGACCCACUGGACAAGGGAAGAACAGGAAUAGACCUGACAACACUUUUCUUGAGCUGCUGACUCAUGAUUUACCUAAAUGAAUAAUAAAGCGGCCAGCAAAUGAAUCCAAUUAUGGUUAUGUACAACAGCACUAAACAAUAAAUCAUCAUACAUUCUAUUUUAUUACUGCACAUUCUAUUGUUUAAAGUUUGUGUAUUUUCUAUUCC